RNAcentral lists this ribosomal RNA (301 nucleotides) under uncultured bacterium. Its description in RNAcentral is "partial 16S ribosomal RNA". It matches the Rfam family "Bacterial small subunit ribosomal RNA", at positions 509 to 807 of the family's 1533-position model. The record is from RNAcentral.
CAGUAGCCGCGGGAAUACGUAGGUGGCGAGCGUUGUCCGGAAUUAUUGGGCGUAAAGGGCUCGCAGGCGGUUUCUUAAGUCUGAUGUGAAAGCCCCCGGCUCAACCGGGGAGGGUCAUUGGAAACUGGGAAACUUGAGUGCAGAAGAGGAGAGUGGAAUUCCACGUGUAGCGGUGAAAUGCGUAGAGAUGUGGAGGAACACCAGUGGCGAAGGCGACUCUCUGGUCUGUAACUGACGCUGAGGAGCGAAAGCGUGGGGAGCGAACAGGAUUAGAUACCCCCGUAGUCCCUGUCUCUUAUAC